GACGAACGCUGGCGGCGUGCUUAACACAUGCAAGUCGAACGGAAAGGCCCUGCUUUUGUGGGGUGCUCGAGUGGCGAACGGGUGAGUAACACGUGAGUAACCUGCCCUUGACUUUGGGAUAACUUCAGGAAACUGGGGCUAAUACCGGAUAGGAGCUCCUGCUGCAUGGUGGGGGUUGGAAAGUUUCGGCGGUUGGGGAUGGACUCGCGGCUUAUCAGCUUGUUGGUGGGGUAGUGGCUUACCAAGGCUUUGACGGGUAGCCGGCCUGAGAGGGUGACCGGCCACAUUGGGACUGAGAUACGGCCCAGACUCCUACGGGAGGCAGCAGUGGGGAAUAUUGCACAAUGGGCGGAAGCCUGAUGCAGCAACGCCGCGUGCGGGAUGACGGCCUUCGGGUUGUAAACCGCUUUCGCCUGUGACGAAGCGUGAGUGACGGUAAUGGGUAAAGAAGCACCAGCUAACCACGUG
RNAcentral lists this ribosomal RNA (468 nucleotides) under uncultured bacterium. Its description in RNAcentral is "partial 16S ribosomal RNA". It matches the Rfam family "Bacterial small subunit ribosomal RNA", at positions 28 to 507 of the family's 1533-position model. The record is from RNAcentral.